RNAcentral lists this ribosomal RNA (238 nucleotides) under uncultured bacterium. Its description in RNAcentral is "partial 16S ribosomal RNA". It matches the Rfam family "Bacterial small subunit ribosomal RNA", at positions 124 to 354 of the family's 1533-position model. The record is from RNAcentral.
UACUGCCUUGGAGUGGGGAAGUAACGGACUGGAAACAAGCCGCUAUACCGCAUGAUGCAUCUGAGUCGCAUGGUUUUGGGUAUGCCAAACGAAUUUAUUCGCUCUGAGAUGAGCUCGCGUCUGAUUAGCUAGUUGGCGGGGUAACGGCCCACCAAGGCGACGAUCAGUAGCCGGACUGAGAGGUUGGCCGGCCACAUUGGGACUGAGACACGGCCCAGACUCCUACGGGAGGCAGCAG